AUUGAACGCUGGCGGCAGGCCUAACACAUGCAAGUCGGACGGUAGCACAGGGGAGCUUGCUCCUCGGGUGACGAGUGGCGGACGGGUGAGUAAUGUCUGGGGAUCUGCCCGAUAGAGGGGGAUAACCACUGGAAACGGUGGCUAAUACCGCAUAAUGUCGCAAGACCAAAGAGGGGGACCUUCGGGCCUCUCACUAUCGGAUGAACCCAGAUGGGAUUAGCUAGUAGGCGGGGUAACGGCCCACCUAGGCGACGAUCCCUAGCUGGUCUGAGAGGAGGACCCGCCACACCGGAACUGAGACACGGUCCAGACUCCUACGGGAGGCAGCAGUGGGGAAUAUUGCACAAUGGGCGCAAGCCUGAUGCAGCCAUGCCGCGUGUAUGAAGAAGGCCUUCGGGUUGUAAAGUACUUUCAGCGGGGAGGAAGGCGAUGUGGUUAAUAACCGCGUCGAUUGACGUUACCCGCAGAAGAAGCACCGGCUAACUCCGUGCCAGCCGCCGCCGUAA
RNAcentral lists this ribosomal RNA (506 nucleotides) under uncultured bacterium. RNAcentral's name for it is "partial 16S ribosomal RNA". It matches the Rfam family "Bacterial small subunit ribosomal RNA", at positions 29 to 523 of the family's 1533-position model. The record is from RNAcentral.